UACGGCAAAGUUGUCGGCAUAUAUUUCCAUCUAUGCCUACGGCAAAGCCGUAGGCAUAGAUAUGCCACGUGGCGAGCCCUGGUAACUCCUGGGCUUAUAUAUGCCGACGGCUUUGCCAUAGGCAUAGUUUUUUCCCCCUGUUUUCUCUUUUCCAAUUCAUUUGACAGCAUUUCAAAACAGAACAAUAUGAAAUUAUGCAGAAAUAUGACAGUUCAUCAUCCAAACAUACUCAAGUUCACCAUCAUCAUCUAAACAUACUCAAGUUCAUCACAUCAUCUAAAGAUCAUCACCGACUCAAGUUCAUGAACAUAAAAGUAGUGCAAGACAUCAAACAUCAUAAAAGUAGGAAUAUGAAAGGCAUGGCACGACGGCCACAUGCACAGAAUCAUCAAGCAAGACCACCUCCGCCAAAACCACGACCUCCGACAAAACCGCCUCCGCCAAAACCACCACCACCUCCGCCAAAACCGCCAUCGCGACCACCACCACUCUGCCAGAUCGGAGUGACUGGGGUCGGCAGAGCAGGAGUCGUGCCACCGGUCCCCUACAUGUUUCAGAAAAGAUUCUAACGGUAAAUAUGAUAUGAUAGUGUUGAAUGAACGAGAACUAGUUUGUCAGUAGUUAGGCAAAUGUACUAACCGGACCAUCACUGCCUAGUGCCACCCAUUCAUCGAACGUGGGCACGUGUGGGGGUUCUCCCGCAGGUGGUGGUGGGGGUCCCAUUUGUGGUGGACCCGUGCGGUUACUCCAAGACGCCAACAUAGCUUAAAUGUUAGUUAAACAAGCAAACUAGAAGAUCACAAGGAAUGAAAGUGCAAAAAUUUAGCUUGGUUUUAAGAGG
This 841-nucleotide long non-coding RNA is filed under the name Triticum aestivum (bread wheat). RNAcentral's name for it is "long non-coding RNA (TAES_LNC028195)". The record is from RNAcentral. Lineage: Eukaryota; Viridiplantae; Streptophyta; Magnoliopsida; Poales; Poaceae.